RNAcentral lists this ribosomal RNA (2210 nucleotides) under Thecamoeba quadrilineata. Its description in RNAcentral is "partial 18S ribosomal RNA". It matches the Rfam family "Eukaryotic small subunit ribosomal RNA". The record is from RNAcentral. Lineage: Eukaryota; Discosea; Longamoebia; Thecamoebida.
AACCUGGUUGAUCCUGCCAGUAGUCAUAUGCUUGGUUCAAAGAUUAAGCCAUGCAUGUCUAAGUUUAAGACGUUACCGGGUUCGCUCGGUAAGCUUCCGAAACUGCACAUGGCUCAUUAAAUCGGUGGUAGUCCCUCACAAUCACGAUUCGUCGGCUUGUUCAGCGGCGUCUGUUUGGGUGGCAACACCUGGACGGGCGUCGUAUACGGGCAGGUCGGCGAGAUAUGGAUAUCUGUGGGAAUUCUAGAGCUAAUACAUGAAUUUUGUGACGCUCCUUGUCGGGCUAUGGGCAACCGUAGUUUGGCUUGGGCUCAAGCGUUCGUCUUUUUUAUAGCUGAGGGACUGCUAUCCAAGUAGUUGUUUCAAAUGAUUGAAUCCUGACGAACUUUAGCAAAUCGCAUAGAUGUUCCGACCGGCGUUCCUUCGGGGGCGUCGGAACAAUCGGGGCGGCGAUGGUUUGUAGGGUUUUCCGACUCAUCAGCCAUGUUGGUAAUCCAUGGGUUUACCAAGGCGUCGACGGGUGACGGAGGAUUGGGGUUUGAUCCCGGAGAGGGAGCCUGAGAGAUGGCUACCACUUCUAAGGAAGGCAGCAGGCGCGCAAAUUACCCAAUGCCAAAACGGUGAGGUAGUGACGAUCAAUAACGACGCGGACUCUCUAAGAGGGUCCGCGAUCGGAAUGAGCUCGCCUUAGAUGCUCGAGCAAGUAACGAUCGGAGGAAAAGUCUGGUGCCAGCACCCGCGGUAAUUCCAGCUCCGAUAGCAUAUAUUAAAGUUGCUGCAGUUAAAAAGCUCGUAGUUGGAACCGAGUACCGUGGUAGUUCCGCUCACCGCCGCGAGUGGUGUGGCGGACGCCCGGUUCAAAGCUGUCAGUGGGGCGGCGGUUGUAUGUGGCUUCGGUCAUGUGCAAUCGUCGUGGGGUCUCGGCCCCGACUCGCGCAGCUUACACCUGGAGCAAAUUAGGGUGUUCAAAGCAGGUAGCUCAUUCGAGCGCCUUGAAUAGGUCAGCGUGGGAUGUAAUCCGGCACCUACUGACUCUAAUCCGCGGCGGUUCUUCGGGGCCGUCGCAACUUCUACUUGUUGCUCACCUCGGUGGCCAAGGGUCUCUCAGAGAGUAUUCAGUGGGAACGAUUGAUGGGGGUGGUCGGUGGCGUCGGUAUUUGCCCGUCAGAGGUGAAAUUCUUGGACCGGGCAAAGACCAUCAUCAGCGAAAGCACUCGCCAAGUACACCUCCCUCAAUCAAGAACGAAAGUCGGGGGAUCGAAGAUGAUCAGAUACCGUCGUAGUCCCGACCGCAAACGAUGCCAACCAGGGAUCAGGAGGCGUCGCAUGGACGGCCCUCCUGGCACCCCCGGGGAAACCUAGAGUCUUUGGGUUCCGGGGGGAGUAUGGUCGCAAGGCUGAAACUUAAAGGAAUUGACGGAAGGGCACCACCAGGCGUGGGGUUUGCGGCUUAAUUCGACUCAACACGGGAAACCUUACCAGGUCCGGACUCCGUAAGGAUUGACAGACUAAGGGACCUUUCUUGAUCCUGAGGGUGGUGGUGCAUGGCCGUUCUUGGUUGGUGGAGCGAUCCGUCAGGUCAAUUCCGUUAACGAACGAGACCUCGACCCCCCAAAUAGUGGCAUGUCUGCCCUGCCAACUCGGGGUUCGUUUCUCUGCGGCGGGAUGUCGUUCGGUUUCGGCCGGGCAAUGUCCUGUCGUGACGGGGGGCGACCUCGGUGGGGCACGUGUUCGACUUCUUAGAGGGACGGCUCGCGCUUAGCGAGAGGAAGCUUGAGGCAAUAACAGGUCUGUGAUGCCCUUUAGAUGUUCUGGACCGCACGCGCACCACACUGGUGGUAUGUUGAACAAGCGAGCUACAAAAUCAAAAAAAAGCAACGGACGGACGGGCAACCGUCUGUCUGUCUUUUUGCGUCCCUUGGCCAUGAAAGGUCUGGGGAAUCUCGAGUGACCAUCGUGAUGGGGAUAGAUCAUUGCAAUUAUUGUUCUUCAACGAGGAAUGCCUAGUAGGCACGGGUCAUCAACUCGUGCCGAUUACGUCCCUGCCCUUUGUACACACCGCCCGUCGCUCCUACCGAUCGAACGGCCAGGCAAAGUCCUCGGAGUGGAGCGAUCCUUCGGGGUUGUUUCGUAAAGUUGACUGCACCUCGUCAUUUAGAGGAAGGAGAAGUCGUAACAAGGUAUCUGUAGGUGAACCUGCGGAAGGAUCA